RNAcentral lists this ribosomal RNA (395 nucleotides) under uncultured Pseudoalteromonas sp. RNAcentral's name for it is "bacterial SSU rRNA". It matches the Rfam family "Bacterial small subunit ribosomal RNA", at positions 30 to 419 of the family's 1533-position model. Lineage: Bacteria; Pseudomonadati; Pseudomonadota; Gammaproteobacteria; Alteromonadales; Pseudoalteromonadaceae. The record is from RNAcentral.
AUUGAACGCUGGCGGCAGGCCUAACACAUGCAAGUCGAGCGGUAACAGAGAGUAGCUUGCUACUCUGCUGACGAGCGGCGGACGGGUGAGUAAUGCUUGGGAAUGUACCUUAUGGUGGGGGACAACAGUUGGAAACGACUGCUAAUACCGCAUAAUGUCUUCGGACCAAAGCGGGGGACCUUCGGGCCUCGCGCCAUAAGAUCAGCCCAAGUGGGAUUAGCUAGUUGGUGAGGUAAUGGCUCACCAAGGCGACGAUCCCUAGCUGGUUUGAGAGGAUGAUCAGCCACACUGGGACUGAGACACGGCCCAGACUCCUACGGGAGGCAGCAGUGGGGAAUAUUGCACAAUGGGCGCAAGCCUGAUGCAGCCAUGCCGCGUGUGUGAAGAAGGCCUUC